This 499-nucleotide ribosomal RNA is filed under the name uncultured Streptococcus sp. Its description in RNAcentral is "partial 16S ribosomal RNA". The record is from RNAcentral. Lineage: Bacteria; Bacillati; Bacillota; Bacilli; Lactobacillales; Streptococcaceae.
CACGUAGUUAGCCGUCCCUUUCUGGUAAGAUACCGUCACAGUGUGAACUUUCCACUCUCGCACUCGUUCUUCUCUUACAACAGAGCUUUACGAUCCGAAAACCUUCUUCACUCACGCGGCGUUGCUCGGUCAGACUUCCGUCCAUUGCCGAAGAUUCCCUACUGCUGCCUCCCGUAGGAGUCUGGGCCGUGUCUCAGUCCCAGUGUGGCCGAUCACCCUCUCAGGUCGGCUAUGUAUCGUCGCCUUGGUGAGCCGUUACCCCCACCAACUAGCUAAUACAACGCAGGUCCAUCUGGUAGUGAUGCAAUUGCACCUUUUAAGCAAAUGUCAUGCAACAUCUACUCUUAUGCGGUAUUAGCUAUCGUUUUCCAAUAGUUAUCCCCCGCUACCCAGGCAAGGUUACCUACGCGUUACUCACCCGUUCGCAACUCAUCCAGAGAAGCAAGCUCCUCCUUCAGCGUUCUACUUGCAUGUAUUAGGCACGCCGCCAGCGUCGUCC